Molecule: long non-coding RNA, 610 nt
Organism: Lycium ferocissimum
Lineage: Eukaryota; Viridiplantae; Streptophyta; Magnoliopsida; Solanales; Solanaceae
Exons: 4
Source: RefSeq, a predicted model, not a curated record
CAUGAGUAUAAUUUGUUUUUGGUAUAGGAAAAUAAUGCUAACUCCAAUGGGGAUUCUGUUCCUCCAGUAGAAAGGCCAAUAUCUGAUAAUUCAAGGAGAGAAGUUGUUGAGCAAGAAGAUAAGCAGCAGAAGAGACAUUCUCCAUGGUCGAUCAGGCCUAUUACCAAUCGAUCGAUUGUACAAUCCAAGCUUUGCUGACAUUGGUCUACCGGUGGAUCCUCACUUGCGUAUGCUCAAGCUGAAUCCAAAUUUUUGUAAGCAAUCCUAAGGCUCGCAGCAAAGGCAAGAUGGUGAUCGAUUUGAACAAGUGAUGAUUUCUAAGAGUGCAAACAAUUGAGGAAUAUUGUGCUGAGGUUGAAGCUAUUUUGUCACAAAUGAAGAAUGACUUAUGACAAAAUCAAGCUCAUUGUGGGACAUUCUCAAAUAUUCUUCUUUUUUUCUUUUAGUCCUUUCGAUUUCAUAAGCAGAAAAGCGUUGAACAUCCUCCUUCAAAUUUUGUUUUAAUUUUGUUGUUUUGUUGUCAAUAUCAAGUUACUGGUAAACCACAUUUCUUUCGAGAACUCUUCAAGAUUGAAUACAACAUCAUGUUUUGUUAUUUCAUCAGCCUCUG